UGCAGUCGAGCGGACUUGAGAGAAGCUUGCUUCUCUGAUGGUUAGCGGCGGACGGGUGAGUAACACGUAGGCAACCUGCCCUCAAGUUUGGGACAACUACCGGAAACGGUAGCUAAUACCGAAUAGUUGUUUUCUUCUCCUGAAGAGAACUGGAAAGACGGAGCAAUCUGUCACUUGGGGAUGGGCCUGCGGCGCAUUAGCUAGUUGGUGGGGUAACGGCUCACCAAGGCGACGAUGCGUAGCCGACCUGAGAGGGUGAUCGGCCACACUGGGACUGAGACACGGCCCAGACUCCUACGGGAGGCAGCAGUAGGGAAUCUUCCGCAAUGGGCGAAAGCCUGACGGAGCAAUGCCGCGUGAGUGAUGAAUGUUUUCGGAUCGUACAGCUCUGUUGCCAGGGAACAACGCUUG
This 411-nucleotide ribosomal RNA is filed under the name Paenibacillus sp. RNAcentral describes it as "bacterial SSU rRNA". It matches the Rfam family "Bacterial small subunit ribosomal RNA", at positions 56 to 455 of the family's 1533-position model. Lineage: Bacteria; Bacillati; Bacillota; Bacilli; Caryophanales; Paenibacillaceae. The record is from RNAcentral.